Molecule: long non-coding RNA, 204 nt
Filed under: Mytilus galloprovincialis (Mediterranean mussel)
Lineage: Eukaryota; Metazoa; Mollusca; Bivalvia; Mytilida; Mytilidae
Source: RNAcentral
AUUGGCCGUUGAUCAGGUCAAUAUUCACUGGAAAAGGUCAUGCCGGGACUACUUUUUUUCUUGACAACUGAUUGUUUACUUCUGGUUUUCGCGAUUUUCGUCUGCUUUAUCGUCUGCAUUAUCUAAUAUAAAUCUUAUCAUGGACGAAGAAAUAAAGAAAGGAACCCGUGCACUCGUUAUGAAACCUAUAAAAAUAUAAAAAAA